This 588-nucleotide ribosomal RNA is filed under the name uncultured bacterium. RNAcentral's name for it is "bacterial SSU rRNA". It matches the Rfam family "Bacterial small subunit ribosomal RNA", at positions 338 to 916 of the family's 1533-position model. The record is from RNAcentral.
CCUACGGGAGGCAGCAGUGGGGAAUUUUGGACAAUGGGCGAAAGCCUGAUCCAGCAAUGCCGCGUGUGGGAAGAAGGCCUUCGGGUUGUAAACCACUUUUGUACGGAACGAAACGGUUCGCUUUAAUACAGUGGGCUAAUGACGGUACCGUAAGAAUAAGCACCGGCUAACUACGUGCCAGCAGCCGCGGUAAUACGUAGGGUGCGAGCGUUAAUCGGAAUUACUGGGCGUAAAGCGUGCGCAGGCGGUUAUAUAAGACAGUUGUGAAAUCCCCGGGGCUCAACCUGGGAAUUGCAUCUGUGACUGUAUAGCUAGAGUACGGUAGGGGGGGUAUGGAAUUCCGCGUGUAGCAGUGAAAUGCGUAGAUAUGCGGAGGAACACCGAUGGCGAAGGCAAUCCCCUGGACCUGUACUGACGCUCAUGCACGAAAGCGUGGGGAGCAAACAGGAUUAGAUACCCUGGUAGUCCACGCCCUAAACGAUGUCAACUGGUUGUUGGGUUGCAUUAGUACUCAGUAACGAAGCUAACGCGUGAAGUUGACCGCCUGGGGAGUACGGCCGCAAGGUUGAAACUUAAAUGAAUUGACGG